RNAcentral lists this ribosomal RNA (274 nucleotides) under uncultured bacterium. RNAcentral describes it as "partial 16S ribosomal RNA". It matches the Rfam family "Bacterial small subunit ribosomal RNA", at positions 523 to 796 of the family's 1533-position model. The record is from RNAcentral.
AUACGGAGGGUCCAAGCGUUAUCCGGAUUCAUCGGGUUUAAAGGGUCCGCAGGCGGGAAAAUAAGUCAGUGGUGAAAGCCUACAGCCCAACUGUAGAACUGCCAUUGAUACUGUUUUUCUUGAGUAUAGAUGAAGUGGGCGGAAUAUAUCAUGUAGCGGUGAAAUGCAUAGAUAUGAUAUAGAACACCGAUUGCGAAGGCAGCUCACUAAACUAUUACUGACGCUCAGGGACGAAAGCGUGGGGAGCGAACAGGAUUAGAAACCCCUGUAGUCC